UGAACCAGCCAAGUCGCGUGAGGGAUGAAGGUUCUAUGGAUCGUAAACCUCUUUUAUAAGGGAAUAAAGUGCGGGACGUGUCCCGUUUUGUAUGUACCUUAUGAAUAAGGAUCGGCUAACUCCGUGCCAGCAGCCGCGGUAAUACGGAGGAUCCGAGCGUUAUCCGGAUUUAUUGGGUUUAAAGGGUGCGUAGGCGGCCUUUUAAGUCAGCGGUGAAAGUCUGUGGCUCAACCAUAGAAUUGCCGUUGAAACUGGGGGGCUUGAGUAUGUUUGAGGCAGGCGGAAUGCGUGGUGUAGCGGUGAAAUGCAUAGAUAUCACGCAGAACCCCGAUUGCGAAGGCAGCCUGCCAAGCCAUUACUGACGCUGAUGCACGAAAGCGUGGGGAUCAAACAGGAUUAGAUACCCUGGUAGUCCACGCAGUAAACGAUGAUCACUAGCUGUUUGCGAUACACUGUAAGCGGCACAGCGAAAGCGUUAAGUGAUCCACCUGGGGAGUACGCCGGCAACGGUGAAACUCAAAGGAAUUGACGGGGGCCCGCACAAGCGGAGGAACAUGUGGUUUAAUUCGAUGAUACGCGAGGAACCUUACCCGGGUUUGAACGCAUUCGGACCGAGGUGGAAACACCUUUUCUAGCAAUAGCCGUUUGCGAGGUGCUGCAUGGUUGUCGUCAGCUCGUGCCGUGAGGUGUCGGCUUAAGUGCCAUAACGAGCGCAACCCUUGCCACUAGUUACUAACAGGUAAAGCUGAGGACUCUGGUGGGACUGCCAGCGUAAGCUGCGAGGAAGGCGGGGAUGACGUCAAAUCAGCACGGCCCUUACAUCCGGGGCGACACACGUGUUACAAUGGCGUGGACAAAGGGAGGCCACCUGGCGACAGGGAGCGAAUCCCCAAACCACGUCUCAGUUCGGAUCGGAGUCUGCAACCCGACUCCGUGAAGCUGGAUUCGCUAGUAAUCGCGCAUCAGCCAUGGCGCGGUGAAUACGUUCCCGGGCCUUGUACACACCGCCCGUCAAGCCAUGGGAGCCGGGGGUACCUGAAGUCCGUAACCGCGAGGAUCGGCCUAGGGUAAAACUGGUGACUGGGGCUAAGUCGUAACAAGGUAGCCGUACCGGAAGGUGCGGCUG
This 1126-nucleotide ribosomal RNA is filed under the name gut metagenome. RNAcentral's name for it is "bacterial SSU rRNA". It matches the Rfam family "Bacterial small subunit ribosomal RNA", at positions 384 to 1520 of the family's 1533-position model. The record is from RNAcentral.